RNAcentral lists this ribosomal RNA (777 nucleotides) under uncultured Neocallimastigales. RNAcentral's name for it is "partial large subunit ribosomal RNA". It matches the Rfam family "Eukaryotic large subunit ribosomal RNA", at positions 23 to 620 of the family's 3401-position model. Lineage: Eukaryota; Fungi; Neocallimastigomycota; Neocallimastigomycetes; Neocallimastigales. The record is from RNAcentral.
AGAGAGAGACAUGCGCGCAUAUCAAUAAGCGGAGGAAAAGAAACUAACAAGGAUUCCCUUAGUAACGGCGAGUGAAGCGGGAAGAGCUCAAAUUUGAAAUCUUCAAGGUUUUACCUUGACGAAUUGUAGUUUAAAGAAGUGUUUUCUGCUGAAGUUUUGGUAAAAGUUCUUUGGAAUAGGACAUCCAUAGAGGGUGAGAAUCCCGUAUUUGACCAUUAGUUUCAGCUUUGUGAUACACUUUCAAAGAGUCGGAUUGUUUGGGAAUGCAGUCCAAAAUGGGUGGUAAAUUUCAUCUAAAGCUAAAUAUUGGCGAGAGACCGAUAGCGAACAAGUACCGUGAGGGAAAGAUGAAAAGAACUUUGAAAAGAGAGUUAAACAGUACGUGAAAUUGUCAAAAGGGAAGCGUUUGACACCAGUGUUGUUUUCUCGAAAAUCAAUUAAAAAUGGCUCGAUUUUGUAUUGCUUGAGACCUUAAAAGCUCACUGUACAUUUUUCGUGUCUUUUUUAAUGCACUUUUCGUUUAACAAGUCAACAUCAGUUUCUUUUGUUGUAAAAGGGUCAUUGGAAGGUGGCUUUCUUUUCGGAGAAAGUGUUUAUAGCCUUUGGCCUCUGCAAUCGGAAGAGACUGAGGUCUGCAGCGUAGACUCUUCGGGGUUAGAUACAUUUGUGCUAAGUUAUAGCUUUUUAUAGACAACUUGUUGACUAUAAUUAGUCUUGUAGCUUACUCGCUUAUGCUAUUUUACCUACGCUUAGGAUGUUGAAGAUGUAGCACAUCAU